Molecule: ribosomal RNA, 653 nt
Filed under: uncultured bacterium
Lineage: Bacteria
Description: bacterial SSU rRNA
Rfam family: Bacterial small subunit ribosomal RNA
Source: RNAcentral
AAAAGGUGGCUACACUACCGCUUUUGGAUGGGCCCGCGGCGCAUUAGCUAGUUGGUAGGGUAAAGGCUUACCAAGGCAAUGAUGCGUAGCCGAAUUGAGAGGUUGAUCGGCCACAUUGGGACUGAGACACGGCCCAAACUCCUACGGGAGGCAGCAGUAGGGAAUCUUCCACAAUGGGCGAAAGCCUGAUGGAGCAACGCCGCGUGGGUGAAGAAGGUCUUCGGAUCGUAAAACCCUGUUGUUAGAGAAGAAAGUGCGUGAGAGUAACUGUUCACGUUUCGACGGUAUCUAACCAGAAAGCCACGGCUAACUACGUGCCAGCAGCCGCGGUAAUACGUAGGUGGCAAGCGUUAUCCGGAUUUAUUGGGCGUAAAGGGAACGCAGGCGGUCUUUUAAGUCUGAUGUGAAAGCCUUCGGCUUAACCGGAGUAGUGCAUUGGAAACUGGGAGACUUGAGUGCAGAAGAGGAGAGUGGAACUCCAUGUGUAGCGGUGAAAUGCGUAGAUAUAUGGAAGAACACCAGUGGCGAAAGCGGCUCUCUGGUCUGUAACUGACGCUGAGGUUCGAAAGCGUGGGUAGCAAACAGGAUUAGAUACCCUGGUAGUCCACGCCGUAAACGAUGAAUGCUAAGUGUUGGAGGGUUUCCGCCCUUCA